GGUUCGCCCUUCAACUGCCAGCAGGUUUACCUUGAAUAAAUCAGAGUGCUCAAUACAGGCGCUUGCUUGAAUAGCUCAUCAUGGAAUAAUGAAACAGGACUUCGGUUCUUUUUGUUGGUUCUAGAAUUGAUCUAAUGGUUAAGAGGGACAAACCGGGGGCAUUCGUAUCAUUACGCGAGAGGUGAAAUUCGUGGACCGUAGUGAGACGCCCAAUAGCGAAAGCAUUUGCCAAGAAUGUCUUCAUUAAUCAAGAACGAAAGUCAGAGGUUCGAAGGCGAUUAGAUACCGCCCUAGUUCUGACCGUAAACGAUGCCAUCUCGCGAUUCGGAGGGUUCAUGCCCUACCGAGGAGCUACCCGGAAACGAAAGUCUUUCGGUUCCGGGGGUAGUAUGGUUGCAAAGCUGAAACUUAAAGAAAUUGACGGAAGGGCACCACAAGGCGUGGAGCUUGCGGCUUAAUUUGACUCAACACGGGAAAAUACACCCGGUCCGGACACUAUUAGGACUGACAGAUUGAAAGCUCUUUCUCGAUUUGGUGGUUGGUGGUGCAUGGCCGUUCUUAGUUGGUGGAGUGAUUUGUCUGGUUUAUUCCGAUAACGAGCGAGACUCUAGCCUGCUAAAUAGUCGACGAAUCUUCGGGUUCGUAUAACUUCUUAGAGGGAUAAGCGGUGUUUAGCCGCACGAGAUUGAGCGAUAACAGGUCUGUGAUGCCCUUAGAUGUCCGGGGCUGCACGCGUGCUACACUGGUGGAGUCAGCGGGUUUUUCCUAUGCCGAAAGGUAUCGGUAAACCGUUGAACUUCUUCCAUGUCCGGGAUAGGGUAUUGUAAUUAUUACCCUUAAACGAGGAAUGCCUAGUAAGUGUGAGUCAUCAGCUCACGUUGAUUACGUCCCUGCCCUUUGUACACACCGCCCGUCGCUAUCCGGGACUGAACUGAUUCGAGAAGAGUGGGGACUGUGGCUGCGAGGUUUUACCACUUCGCAGUUGCGGAAACCAUUUUUAUCGCAUUGGUUUGAACCGGGUAAAAGUCGUAACAAGGUAGCUGUAGGUGAACCUGCAGCUGGAUCAUCG
Caenorhabditis japonica is the source of this 1069-nucleotide non-coding RNA. The record is from Rfam. Lineage: Eukaryota; Metazoa; Nematoda; Chromadorea; Rhabditida; Rhabditidae.